CACACGACCGUUAUAUCCGUAGAUUUCUGAAUGGGACAACCUAAUAUACUGAAGGUAUAUUACUCUGCAAAGAGAGCCAACCCCGAGAACUGAAACAUCUAAGUACCGGGAGGAAAAGAAAAUAAUAAUGAUUCCCUGAGUAGUGGCGAGCGAAAAGGGAAGAGCCCAAACCGGGUCAGCGUGCUGAUCCGGGGUUAUAGGACUGCAUUUAGAAGUUGUUAUCAAACCGAAUCAUCUGGAAAGAUGGGCCAUAGCAGGUGAUAGCCCUGUAAGUACAAAUUAACAAGGACGAGCAGUAUCCUGAGUAACGCGGGACCGGAGGAAUCUUGCGUGAAUUUGCCAGCACCAUCUGGUAAGGCUAAAUACUCCUCAGACACCGAUAGUGAACCAGUACCGUAAGGGAAAGGUGAAAAGCACCCCGAACAGGGGAGUGAAAUAGUACCUGAAACCGCGU
RNAcentral lists this ribosomal RNA (454 nucleotides) under uncultured bacterium. RNAcentral's name for it is "bacterial LSU rRNA". It matches the Rfam family "Bacterial large subunit ribosomal RNA", at positions 89 to 561 of the family's 2925-position model. The record is from RNAcentral.